Molecule: unclassified non-coding RNA, 279 nt
Filed under: fungal sp.
Lineage: Eukaryota; Fungi
Description: partial internal transcribed spacer region
Rfam family: Eukaryotic small subunit ribosomal RNA (bases 1-46)
Source: RNAcentral
AAGUCGUAACAAGGUAACCGUAGGUGAACCUGCGGUUGGAUCAUUAACGAAUGUUGAAGCGGAAGCUUUAAUUAAAAUGGCUUAACUUGAAGUUGAAAAACGGAUAGUGGCCUAACACCUUGUGUGAACCAUUAACGUCUCUGGCAAGUCCAGCUUAAUCUUUUCGAAAGGAAGGAUUUAGUAGGAAAAAGCUUGCCAGUUUAUAAACUUUAAUAUCAUACUGGUCUACCUACUAAAAUUAAAUAGUAACAACUUUUGACAACGGAUCUCUUGGCUCUC